CCUGGCUCACGUUGAACGCUAGCUACAGGCUUAACACAUGCAAGUCGAGGGGCAGCAUGGUCUUAGCUUGCUAAGGCCGAUGGCGACCGGCGCACGGGUGAGUAACACGUAUCCAACCUGCCGUCUACUCUUGGACAGCCUUCUGAAAGGAAGAUUAAUACAAGAUGGCAUCAUGAGUCCGCAUGUUCACAUGAUUAAAGGUAUUCCGGUAGACGAUGGGGAUGCGUUCCAUUAGAUAGUAGGCGGGGUAACGGCCCACCUAGUCUUCGAUGGAUAGGGGUUCUGAGAGGAAGGUCCCCCACAUUGGAACUGGGACACGGUCCAAACUCCUACGGGAGGCAGCAGUGAGGAAUAUUGGUCAAUGGGCGAGAGCCUGAACCAGCCAAGUAGCGUGAAGGAUGACUGCCCUAUGGGUUGUAAACUUCUUUUAUAAAGGAAUAAAGUCGGGUAUGGAUACCCGUUUGCAUGUACUUUAUGAAUAAGGAUCGGCUAACUCCGUGCCAGCAGCCGCGGUAAUACGGAGGAUCCGAGCGUUAUCCGGAUUUAUUGNGUUUAAAGGGAGCGUAGAUGGAUGUUUAAGUCAGUUGUGAAAGUUUGCGGCUNCACCGGUAAAUUGCAGUUGAUACUGGAUAUCUUGAGUGCAGUUGAGGCAGGCGGAAUUCGUGGUGUAGCGGUGAAAUGCUUAGAUAUCACGAAGAACUCCGAUUGCGAAGGCAGCCUGCUAAGCUGCAACUGACAUUGAGGCUCGAAAGUGUGGGUAUCAAACAGGAUUAGAUACCCUGGUAGUCCACACGGUAAACGAUGAAUACUCGCUGUUUGCGAUAUACAGCAAGCGGCCAAGCGAAAGCGUUAAGUAUUCCACCUGGGGAGUACGCCGGCAACGGUGAAACUCAAAGGAAUUGACGGGGGCCCGCACAAGCGGAGGAACAUGUGGUUUAAUUCGAUGAUACGCGAGGAACCUUACCCGGGCUUAAAUUGCAGAUGAAUUACGGUGAAAGCCGUAAGCCGCAAGGCAUCUGUGAAGGUGCUGCAUGGUUGUCGUCAGCUCGUGCCGUGAGGUGUCGGCUUAAGUGCCAUAACGAGCGCAACCCUUGUUGUCAGUUACUAACAGGUUCCGCUGAGGACUCUGACAAGACUGCCAUCGUAAGAUGUGAGGAAGGUGGGGAUGACGUCAAAUCAGCACGGCCCUUACGUCCGGGGCUACACACGUGUUACAAUGGGGGGUACAGAGGGCCGCUACCACGCGAGUGGAUGCCAAUCCCCAAAACCUCUCUCAGUUCGGACUGGAGUCUGCAACCCGACUCCACGAAGCUGGAUUCGCUAGUAAUCGCGCAUCAGCCACGGCGCGGUGAAUACGUUCCCGGGCCUUGUACACAC
RNAcentral lists this ribosomal RNA (1377 nucleotides) under uncultured bacterium. RNAcentral's name for it is "bacterial SSU rRNA". It matches the Rfam family "Bacterial small subunit ribosomal RNA", at positions 18 to 1390 of the family's 1533-position model. The record is from RNAcentral.